GACGAACGUUGGCGGCGUGCUUAACACAUGCAAGUCGAACGGAAAGGCCCUGCUUUUGUGGGGUGCUCGAGUGGCGAACGGGUGAGUAACACGUGAGUAACCUGCCCUUGACUUUGGGAUAACUUCAGGAAACUGGGGCUAAUACCGGAUAGGAGCUCCUGCUGCAUGGUGGGGGUUGGAAAGUUUCGGCGGUUGGGGAUGGACUCGCGGCUUAUCAGCUUGUUGGUGGGGUAGUGGCUUACCAAGGCUUUGACGGGUAGCCGGCCUGAGAGGGUGACCGGCCACAUUGGGACUGAGAUACGGCCCAGACUCCUACGGGAGGCAGCAGUGGGGAAUAUUGCACAAUGGGCGGAAGCCUGAUGCAGCAACGCCGCGUGCGGGAUGACGGCCUUCGGGUUGUAAACCGCUUUCGCCUGUGACGAAGCGUGAGUGACGGUAAUGGGUAAAGAAGCACCGGCUAACUACGUGCCAGCAGCCGCGGUGAUACGUAGGGUGCGAGCGUUGUCCGGAUUUAUUGGGCGUAAAGGGCUCGUAGGUGGUUGAUCGCGUCGGAAGUGUAAUCUUGGGGCUUAACCCUGAGCGUGCUUUCGAUACGGGUUGACUUGAGGAAGGUAGGGGAGAAUGGAAUUCCUGGUGGAGCGGUGGAAUGCGCAGAUAUCAGGAGGAACACCAGUGGCGAAGGCGGUUCUCUGGGCCUUUCCUGACGCUGAGGAGCGAAAGCGUGGGGAGCGAACAGGCUUAGAUACCCUGGUAGUCCACGCUGUAAACGGUGGGUACUAGGUGUGGGGUCCAUUCCACGGGUUCCGUGCCGUAGCUAACGCUUUAAGUACCCCGCCUGGGGAGUACGGCCGCAAGGCUAAAACUCAAAGGAAUUGACGGGGCCCCGCACAAGCGGCGGAGCAUGCGGAUUAAUUCGAUGCAACGCGUAGAACCUUACCUGGGUUUGACAUGGAUCGGGAGCGCUCAGAGAUGGGUGUGCCUCUUUUGGGGUCGGUUCACAGGUGGUGCAUGCCUGUCGUCAGCUCGUGUCGUGAGAUGUUGGGUUAAGUCCCGCAACGAGCGCAACCCUUGUUCACUGUUGCCAGCACGUUAUGGUGGGGACUCAGUGGAGACCGCCGGGGUCAACUCGGAGGAAGGUGGGGAUGACGUCUAGUCCUCAUGCCCCUUAUGUCCAGGGCUUCACGCAUGCUACAAUGGCUGGUACAGAGAGUGGCGAGCCUGUGAGGGUGAGCGAAUCUCGGAAAGCCGGUCUCAGUUCGGAUUGGGGUCUGCAACUCGACCUCAUGAAGUCGGAGUCGCUAGUAAUCGCAGAUCAGCAACGCUGCGGUGAAUACGUUCCCGGGGCU
RNAcentral lists this ribosomal RNA (1346 nucleotides) under uncultured bacterium. RNAcentral describes it as "bacterial SSU rRNA". It matches the Rfam family "Bacterial small subunit ribosomal RNA", at positions 28 to 1381 of the family's 1533-position model. The record is from RNAcentral.